CUAAAUACUCCUGACUGACCGAUAGUGAACCAGUACCGUGAGGGAAAGGCGAAAAGAACCCCGGCGAGGGGAGUGAAAAAGAACCUGAAACCGUGUACGUACAAGCAGUGGGAGCACGCUUAGGCGUGUGACUGCGUACCUUUUGUAUAAUGGGUCAGCGACUUAUAUUCUGUAGCAAGGUUAACCGAAUAGGGGAGCCGAAGGGAAACCGAGUCUUAACUGGGCGUUAAGUUGCAGGGUAUAGACCCGAAACCCGGUGAUCUAGCCAUGGGCAGGUUGAAGGUUGGGUAACACUAACUGGAGGACCGAACCGACUAAUGUUGAAAAAUUAGCGGAUGACUUGUGGCUGGGGGUGAAAGGCCAAUCAAACCGGGAGAUAGCUGGUUCUCCCCGAAAGCUAUUUAGGUAGCGCCUCGUGAAUUCAUCUCCGGGGGUAGAGCACUGUUUCGGCAAGGGGGUCAUCCCGACUUACCAACCCGAUGCAAACUGCGAAUACCGGAGAAUGUUAUCACGGGAGACACACGGCGGGUGCUAACGUCCGUCGUGAAGAGGGAAACAACCCAGACCGCCAGCUAAGGUCCCAAAGUCAUGGUUAAGUGGGAAACGAUGUGGGAAGGCCCAGACAGCCAGGAUGUUGGCUUAGAAGCAGCCAUCAUUUAAAGAAAGCGUAAUAGCUCACUGGUCGAGUCGGCCUGCGCGGAAGAUGUAACGGGGCUAAACCAUGCACCGAAGCUGCGGCAGCGACGCUGAUGCGUUGUUGGGUAGGGGAGCGUUCUGUAAGCCUGUGAAGGUGUGCUGUGAGGCAUGCUGGAGGUAUCAGAAGUGCGAAUGCUGACAUAAGUAACGAUAAAGCGGGUGAAAAGCCCGCUCGCCGGAAGACCAAGGGUUCCUGUCCAACGUUAAUCGGGGCAGGGUGAGUCGACCCCUAAGGCGAGGCCGAAAGGCGUAGUCGAUGGGAAACAGGUUAAUAUUCCUGUACUUGGUGUUACUGCGAAGGGGGGACGGAGAAGGCUAUGUUGGCCGGGCGACGGUUGUCCCGGUUUAAGCGUGUAGGCUGGUUUUCCAGGCAAAUCCGGAAAAUCAAGGCUGAGGCGUGAUGACGAGGCACUACGGUGCUGAAGCAACAAAUGCCCUGCUUCCAGGAAAAGCCUCUAAGCAUCAGGUAACAUCAAAUCGUACCCCAAACCGACACAGGUGGUCAGGUAGAGAAUACCAAGGCGCUUGAGAGAACUCGGGUGAAGGAACUAGGCAAAAUGGUGCCGUAACUUCGGGAGAAGGCACGCUGAUAUGUAGGUGAAGUCCCUCGCGGAUGGAGCUGAAAUCAGUCGAAGAUACCAGCUGGCUGCAACUGUUUAUUAAAAACACAGCACUGUGCAAACACGAAAGUGGACGUAUACGGUGUGACGCCUGCCCGGUGCCGGAAGGUUAAUUGAUGGGGUCAGCGCAAGCGAAGCUCUUGAUCGAAGCCCCGGUAAACGGCGGCCGUAACUAUAACGGUCCUAAGGUAGCGAAAUUCCUUGUCGGGUAAGUUCCGACCUGCACGAAUGGCGUAAUGAUGGCCAGGCUGUCUCCACCCGAGACUCAGUGAAAUUGAACUCGCUGUGAAGAUGCAGUGUACCCGCGGCAAGACGGAAAGACCCCGUGAACCUUUACUAUAGCUUGGCACUGAACAUUGAGCCUUGAUGUGUAGGAUAGGUGGGAGGCUUAGAAGUGUGGACGCCAGUCUGCAUGGAGCCGACCUUGAAAUACCACCCUUUAAUGUUUGAUGUUCUAACGUUGACCCGUAAUCCGGGUUGCGGACAGUGUCUGGUGGGUAGUUUGACUGGGGCGGUCUCCUCCUAAAGAGUAACGGAGGAGCACGAAGGUUGGCUAAUCCUGGUCGGACAUCAGGAGGUUAGUGCAAUGGCAUAAGCCAGCUUGACUGCGAGCGUGACGGCGCGAGCAGGUGCGAAAGCAGGUCAUAGUGAUCCGGUGGUUCUGAAUGGAAGGGCCAUCGCUCAACGGAUAAAAGGUACUCCGGGGAUAACAGGCUGAUACCGCCCAAGAGUUCAUAUCGACGGCGGUGUUUGGCACCUCGAUGUCGGCUCAUCACAUCCUGGGGCUGAAGUAGGUCCCAAGGGUAUGGCUGUUCGCCAUUUAAAGUGGUACGCGAGCUGGGUUUAGAACGUCGUGAGACAGUUCGGUCCCUAUCUGCCGUGGGCGCUGGAGAACUGAGGGGGGCUGCUCCUAGUACGAGAGGACCGGAGUGGACGCAUCACUGGUGUUCGGGUUGUCAUGCCAAUGGCACUGCCCGGUAGCUAAAUGCGGAAGAGAUAAGUGCUGAAAGCAUCUAAGCACGAAACUUGCC
RNAcentral lists this ribosomal RNA (2347 nucleotides) under Escherichia coli. RNAcentral's name for it is "partial 23S ribosomal RNA". It matches the Rfam family "Bacterial large subunit ribosomal RNA", at positions 466 to 2798 of the family's 2925-position model. The record is from RNAcentral. Lineage: Bacteria; Pseudomonadati; Pseudomonadota; Gammaproteobacteria; Enterobacterales; Enterobacteriaceae.